CGCCGCUAAACCCCUUCUCCAUCUCUAUAUUUGGCGUCUCUAGCUGCAGCCUGAGCCAAAGAUGAGCACUUUCUCAUCGUACUUUACAUUUGUUUUCAACCCUUUUCUUUAUUUUGUUUCACUUUCACUUGAUCAAUGGGGAGCAAUGUACAUAUGUAUGAUCGUAUACGCACAGAUCAAAGGCUUGCUGUUGAUUUUAGUAAAGGAUCUGUGAGCUCAAAACCUGUGCAAUAUUGUAACUCAUCCACCAAAUAAUACUCCCUUGAUUUAUCUCACUGUUUUGCUGGAGGAUUCUACGGUGGAUGAUGUACAUCUAAUGCCUUGUGGGAUUUUAUGUUCUUUUAGCUUUUUGUGAAUUCAUGUACCCAUCAUUUACUUAGAUUGGUGUGUUUCUUCCUUUUCUAGUUUUAUAAUGCCAAUUUGCAGAGCAAGAGCGUCGAGAAUGGCGAAAUUUGCAUUGAAGGUUGGCGAUAUCAAUAAAAAUAGCAAUUCUCCGUGCCUAUCAAAUCUCUCAUUUUCAUUUUGAUUAUGGCCUCGAACAAGUUGCUACAUUAUUUUUUCCUGCACAUUUUCUCUAUCCCAUUUUCUUCCAGCAGGAAUAAAAAGGAGACAUUCCAAGUUUUUUUCUUUUGCACUACACAGCUCAUUUGCAUGUGUGCACUGUCCUGUUUUUGCAUUUGAAAUUCUCAGUAGUGAUUUUUGUGAAGGUCUAAAAAUGCAUUGCUGAAGAGUUCUUUGAUUGGUUUUAUUCUUAUUGGCAAGACGAAAGCUGGUCUUACUGUGAUGGAGCCCUUUGCUGAUGUUACUCCAAAAACUGCUGAAAUUUUUCGUGCUUUGUGCACUGAUGAGAAAGGGAUCGGAAGAUCUGGAAGGCUACUACACCACAAGGGCGCACCUUUCCACUGAAUCAUCCCCAACUUCAUGUGCCAGGGUGGGGAUUUCACAAGAGGGAAUGGGACUGGUGGAGAAUCAGUCUAUGGCUUGAAGUUUGCCAAUGAGAACUUGAAGCUAGAGCAUAAAGGGCCUGGCAUUCUAUCUGUGGGAAAUGCCGGUCCAAACACUAAUUGUUCCCAAUUUUUAAUUUGCACUGAGAAGACCUCAUGGCUUGAUGGAAAGCAUGUUGUAUUUGGGAAAGUUGUUGAUGACUACAGCGUGGUUAAGGAGAUGGAGAAGGCAGGUUCAGAAAGUGGCAGGACCUCACAAACUGUUGUGAUUGAAGAUUGUUUUCAGAUGAUAAGAAGAGAUGGUGGACUUCAAAAUACAAGAUUUUGUCGUAGAUCUAUGUUAGUUCCAAGAUUGAUUGCUAUCUUUACCAUGGAAAGCUACAUUGUAGAUCUAUGUUGGUUCUCAGGAAGAACGUGUAGAGUAAAUAUUGCAUUUGCACAGAUGGUUUAGGUCAAAUUUUAGAAAAGUUUAUGAAUACUUUGUCAUUCAUUUCAAAUUUACGUCUUCAGGUCAAACUGUACUUUGUACCGAGUUGUAGAAGGGUACUGAUCCUUUUGGAGUAUAUACGGGAAAAUAGAUUUGUAGUGAGGUGUUUCUGUUCUUUCUGAAAUCUGAGAGGGCAGUGGAUUGACUAUUGCAUGUAUGCUUUCAAUUCAAACCCACCGUUUUUGUUAACAAGAUCUUUCAGUUCAUUGUACAUGUACUUGAUAUAUACAUCACUUAGGUUUCGGCAGCUUGGUGACUCUUUUAAGAAGGCUAAAACCUUUGAUCCCUGGAGAAGGUGCUGUGUGUGUACUGUCAUGUAACCUCCCCAUCAAAUAAUAUAAUAUACAUACAAAACUGAUGUGUUUUGA
RNAcentral lists this unclassified non-coding RNA (1799 nucleotides) under Hevea brasiliensis (rubber tree). Lineage: Eukaryota; Viridiplantae; Streptophyta; Magnoliopsida; Malpighiales; Euphorbiaceae. The record is from RNAcentral.